AGCGAACGCUGGCGGCAGGCUUAACACAUGCAAGUCGAGCGGGCACUUUCGGGUGUCAGCGGCGGACGGGUGAGUAACGCGUGGGAACGUGCCCUCUGGUUCGGAAUAACUCAGGGAAACUUGAGCUAAUACCGGAUACGCCCUUUUGGGGAAAGGCUUGCUGCCGGAGGAUCGGCCCGCGUCUGAUUAGCUAGUUGGUGAGGUAACGGCUCACCAAGGCGACGAUCAGUAGCUGGUCUGAGAGGAUGAUCAGCCACACUGGGACUGAGACACGGCCCAGACUCCUCCGGGAGGCAAGAGUGGGGAAUUUUGGAAAAUGGGGGCAAGCCUGACCCAGCCAGGCCGGGGGAGUUAUGAAGGCUUUGGGGUUGAAAAGCUUUUUUUCCCGGGACGAUAAUGGCGGUACCGGAGGAAAAAGCCCCGGCGAACUUCGU
Molecule: ribosomal RNA, 434 nt
Filed under: uncultured bacterium
Lineage: Bacteria
Description: partial 16S ribosomal RNA
Rfam family: Bacterial small subunit ribosomal RNA
Source: RNAcentral